This 208-nucleotide ribosomal RNA is filed under the name uncultured bacterium. RNAcentral's name for it is "partial 16S ribosomal RNA". It matches the Rfam family "Bacterial small subunit ribosomal RNA", at positions 1293 to 1500 of the family's 1533-position model. The record is from RNAcentral.
UCGGAUUGUAGUCUGCAACCCGACUACAUGAAGCUGGAAUCGCUAGUAAUCGCGGAUCAGAAUGCCGCGGUGAAUACGUUCCCGGGUCUUGUACACACCGCCCGUCACACCAUGGGAGUCGGAAAUGCCCGAAGUCUGUGACCCAACCUUAGGGAGGGAGCAGCCGAAGGCAGGUCGGAUGACUGGGGUGAAGUCGUAACAAGGUACC